Chinchilla lanigera (long-tailed chinchilla) is the source of this 1575-nucleotide long non-coding RNA. RefSeq lists it as uncharacterized. The transcript has 3 exons. The record is from RefSeq and is a predicted model, not a curated record. NCBI's taxonomy places the organism in Eukaryota, Metazoa, Chordata, Mammalia, Rodentia, Chinchillidae.
UGGGAGACAAAUACUGCAGGAAAAGGAGCCACAUGGAGGAGGAGAGCCCAGCCCUGUGAGACUUCCUGUCAGUGAGAACACACCUUCCUGUGUCCUUAGGCUGCCGGUCAGCUGCAGCUACACUCGCUCUACACAGAUGACUUGCGGCUAUUUAUAGGCUACUCUGCACAACCGAGAUCAUUCAGAAGAAUGAACUCCAGAAGGAAAGGCCAUCACUUCUUUUCAAGCACUCCAGGACGCAGAAUACAAUUUCUCUUCUUCCCAGAGUUCAGAUCUCAUAACAUUACACCAAAUACCUGCGUGUUCGCUGAGCCAGGCACCAGGACGAGCGUCUCCCAGUGUACACAGAAUCCACACGCAGGCUCAGCUACACCUUUCUGAACUGUGUGUUGCGGACAAAGAAAGUGAAUUCUCAGAGGAGUCUUCCUCUAGGGCAGUGCUGCCUCCCCCAGGGCACUUUGUAGACGUGUUCCCCGUAACCUGCCAGUCCCAAUGCACUUCUAAUACCAUUAAUGCAAGCGUAUCUCUGCAAACACCAAAUACGUAUCUGUGUUUGACACACAAAACAUGUCAGUUUCACCUUCCCAGAACCAGCUGUCACCCUCUGCGCGCAGUAAGAACGCACGUAUGCGGACCACAACGGUGCAGGGCCCGGGCCCGUCUUCCUCCUGAACCAGAGCGCUGCACUCUCUCUCUGACCUUUCCUGCACCUUAGUUCUUCCAGGCUCUUUGGUCAUCAUCCGCGCAGGGCACACAUCCCCCAGGCAAUAUACCAGAGGGUUCCUGCUCAGGCCCUUGUGCGCCACACUCUGUUCCCAUAUGUCUGUCGCUCCUGGGACCCCGAACCACGUGACUGGGUGGGGAGCAGGCCAGCCUUUCCCUCACCAACUUCCUCCCGCCACACUUCCAGACCUUCACUCCUGCCCUCACAUACUGCUGUGAGGACAUCCUCCACAGAGCUUUCCUGACAGCAGUCUCCUGUCCAGGAAGAGCUACAGCCCUACUUGAACUUUUCCUUAUCCAAGCUCCUCCAUUCUCUUUUAUAUUCCCCCGUCUGUCUCUCCUAAUGAACGGAGAGGGUAAGAGGGCUCGCCGCCACCUCAGCUACCCCAGCACAAUGCAAGGCAGGAACGCUCAGCACCGCCUGUGUGGCAGGAGGCUGCACAUGGUCCACGCCCACCCGCAGCACAAGAGCUUUCUAGUUUCUUCAAUCACAGGGCACUCAGUGGAACCUCCUACACUGGUCACCUUUCUGGGCCUUGCUGGUCCCUUGGGAAACCACCCCUUGGCCCGCUUUCACUUCACAGUUUGGAUGGCAAUGGCAAUGACCCCGGUUCUGGGCUCCAGAGCUAUGCAGAAAACCCAGGUCUGACAAGCACGUUCCAGCCUCUGGCCGCCAAAAGACUCUGGGGUUGGAGGAAUAGCUAAAGUCGGUUAUCAGAGACGCCAUCCUGGGACUCAACUGGAAAUGUUAGGGAAGGAAAACCCCUGUCCAUGGGAGUGGCCGAGAAACCACUACAUGAAAAUAGGGGCCUUGGCUGACAGGAAAGCGGCGCAUACAGCAGGCCCCGGAGA